RNAcentral lists this long non-coding RNA (217 nucleotides) under Elaeis guineensis (African oil palm). RNAcentral describes it as "long non-coding RNA (EGUI_LNC062720)". Lineage: Eukaryota; Viridiplantae; Streptophyta; Magnoliopsida; Arecales; Arecaceae. The record is from RNAcentral.
GAUCAGACAUAUACUUCUAAGUUCGAACCUAAGCUGGAAGCACCAGAAUAAUUUCUGUACCAAUUGAUGUAACCAUCUAGUAAUGGUGACCCGACGUCCGGAUAGGCCGAAUGUAUGCCCAACAAUAUUCUAGAACCUACAUGGAUAUAGUUACCGUAUAAUUCAUUCCUUUGACACACGAUGCUCAAAGACAACUUAGGGUUAAACUGUCAACCCA